CUGGCCAACUUCUUCUUCUACUGAUUCUUUUGGGAAUAGUCCUCUGACUGAAUUUUCUUUGUGACUGUACGACCUGGUGUUGCUGAAUAGAUUUAUCACAUGUUGAUAGCUGUGUAUUAGCUAUUGGAUUUUUUUUCUUAUCUUGUUCCUUUUUUUGAGGAUUAUUGGGUUUUUGUCCUCUGUUUGUGUUAUGGUGAUUAUGGUGUACCUGUUUUUUUUAAGGGUGUUAUUUUGUUUGUGGUGUUUGUUUAUUUGAGUGUGCAAGUGGAAUUCAGCAGGGGGGAAUGUAACAGUGUUUAUGUGAUAUUAUUCCACUUGCCACAAAUGUCAGUGUAAUGGGGGAAACAGCGCCCCCCCUCUCGGUGUGGCUGGCUGCAGUAAUCGCUGCCAGUCUGCCGUAGCCAUACAAGAGGUGAGUUGUAUUGUUCCGCACACGAUAUAUAGCUAAGUAGUACAGACACAUAAAACAUGUUUGAUUAGCUGAUGGGCACCGAGUGUAAUAAGUGCUCAGUGGACACAUGUCCAACACCAGUUUUAUGUACUUUUCAUUUGUUUAUUAUUGUGUAAAACUGUAUGCUAAAGCGGAAUGUUAAUGGGAUGUUCUGCCGUAGUGUGCUGUGUGGAGUGGUGUGUGGCGAGCCUGUGCACUGAUAAAACACCGUUGUUUCCAUUGAGGUACAUCAUUUGUUGUUGCUGUUAUUUUAUUGUACAUUAGAAAUUGUAAUAUUGCUGCAGUAAUCGCUGCCAGUCUGCCGUAGCCAUACGAGAGUGUGCUGUGCGGAGUGGUGUGUGGCGAGCCUGUGCACUGAUAAAACACCGUUGUUUCCAUUCAGGAAAUAAAGUGGCAUCGAUCAGAGACUCCUUGUCUUCUUAAAAACACAACACAACGCAGAGUCGAGGAGUCUAUCUGGGCCGAACUGUUGCAGCGGGAUGAAGCAGAAACCGCUUAAAGCAGACGUUUGUCGUUGUUUCUGGACACAAACCUCAAGCAGGAGCGCCGACACAUCACACUGUGGUUUACAGGAGCAAACUGUUUGUUUUCAAAACAAAAGUUUGGAACCGUUUGAUUUCAAAAUAAAAGUUUAUGUUUG
Molecule: long non-coding RNA, 1091 nt
Organism: Oreochromis aureus
Lineage: Eukaryota; Metazoa; Chordata; Actinopteri; Cichliformes; Cichlidae
Source: Ensembl